RNAcentral lists this ribosomal RNA (449 nucleotides) under uncultured bacterium. RNAcentral describes it as "bacterial SSU rRNA". It matches the Rfam family "Bacterial small subunit ribosomal RNA", at positions 29 to 523 of the family's 1533-position model. The record is from RNAcentral.
AGCGAACGCUGGCGGCAGGCCUAACACAUGCAAGUCGAACGAACCCUUCGGGGUUAGUGGCGGACGGGUGAGUAACACGUGGGAACGUACCUUUAGGUUCGGAACAACACAGGGAAACUUGUGCUAAUGCCGAAUGUGCCCUUCGGGGAAAGAUUUGUCGCCUUUAGAGCGGCCCGCGUCUGAUUAGCUUGUUGGUGAGGUAAAAGGCUCACCAAGGCUUCGAUCAGUAGCUGGUCUGAGAGGAUGAUCAGCCACACUGGGACUGAGACACGGCCCAGACUCCUACGGGAGGCAGCAGUGGGGAAUCUUGCGCAAUGGGCGAAAGCCUGACGCAGCCAUGCCGCGUGAAUGAUGAAGGUCUUAGGAUUGUAAAAUUCUUUCACCGGGGAAGAUAAUGACGGUACCCGGAGAAGAAGCCCCGGCUAACUUCGUGCCAGCAGCCGCGGUAA